GACGAACGCUGGCGGUGUGCUUAACACAUGCAAGUCGAACGGAAAGGCCCUGCUUUUGUGGGGUGCUCGAGUGGCGAACGGGUGAGUAACACGUGAGUAACCUGCCCUUGACUUUGGGAUAACUUCAGGAAACUGGGGCUAAUACCGGAUAGGAGCUCCUGCUGCAUGGUGGGGGUUGGAAAGUUUCGGCGGUUGGGGAUGGACUCGCGGCUUAUCAGCUUGUUGGUGGGGUAGUGGCUUACCAAGGCUUUGACGGGUAGCCGGCCUGAGAGGGUGACCGGCCACAUUGGGACUGAGAUACGGCCCAGACUCCUACGGGAGGCAGCAGUGGGGUAUAUUGCACAAUGGGCGGAAGCCUGAUGCAGCAACGCCGCGUGCGGGAUGACGGCCUUCGGGUUGUAAACCGCUUUCGCCUGUGACGAAGCGUGAGUGACGGUAAUGGGUAAAGAAGCACCGGCUAACUACGUG
This 468-nucleotide ribosomal RNA is filed under the name uncultured bacterium. Its description in RNAcentral is "partial 16S ribosomal RNA". It matches the Rfam family "Bacterial small subunit ribosomal RNA", at positions 28 to 507 of the family's 1533-position model. The record is from RNAcentral.